AGUUAUCUCCCGUUAUUAUCACUGCUUAUUAUUAGAAAAUUCACUUUCGGUUUAACCUAUAGGCCUACAUUUGUGUUACAUUUAUCGUUAAAUAACAAUUAUACAGGAUCACCUUAACGCUUAAUCUUCAGUUCAGAAAAUGGAGACAAUGACAGUGGAAUGUGGACUCUGCUUUGUUGAUAAGGUUGUAGGGAUUUGCGAAAACUGUGAGUGCAAACUGUGUGAGACCUGUUUUAGGAAUCAUACGAGAGCUAAAAUGUUCAGCACCCAUAUUAUAUUUCCCAUUGAAGCAAAUAAUAAACGAACUAUAAUGUCGAGUUUGGAAACGGCAAUAUCAACUGAUACAGGUCUUAAAUCGCCAGUCGAUACUGAUAUUCACAAGCAGAAGUGUAAAGACCACACUGAUGAAAACCAGUCGUUUUAUUGCGAGACACAUGAUGCCUGUAUUUGUGGGCGUUGUGUUAUUUCAACUCAUACAUCUUGUUUGGACUCAGUGAUUGAUUUGAACAAUAUCCUGCAUGACGCAGAAAGCGCGAAUACAAGGUUGUCUUCAUUGCAUGAGUUGGACGAUGAAAUAGAUCGCAUAAUGGUCAAUAUAGACGAAAACCGACGAGUGAAUGAUACUUGCAGAUCAACCUCUGCGAAAGAGAUCAAUAAUCUUCACAUAGAAUUAGUUGAUCAACUAAAGAUAUUGAUAACAAAAGCAGAAAAAUAAAGUGAGGACUUAUACCAACAAAAUGCGGACAUUUUGGAUGAAACGGAACUUACAUGUAAGGAACAAAAACAAGUUCUGCGGAAGCAAAUGGAACUUAUUGAUGAGCUAGAAAUUAAAAAGCAUUAUCGGCAUUUAUUUGUUGCACUUAAGAGAAAUGGAAAGAAAAUUGAAUUAGUAAAAGAUCAAAAUGCAAGGUGUAGACAGGAAACCAAAAUUAAGGAAUAUGAGUUUAUUCGUAACCUACAAUUAGUGGAACUUAUCAGGGAAUAUCAGCAAAUUGGAACUUUUACGACUGCUUGCGAUGAAAGCGAUGAAGUAAUCGAACAUAUUAACGAGUGGGACGAAACGCUCAUCCCAUUUCCAGAGCGUGAGGAGCAGGAGCGUGCAAAGCGUGCAGAGCGCGAGAAACGAUACCAGGAAGAGCUGGAGUAUACAGAGAGAGUCAAGCGUCUAGAAAAGAUCAAGGAAAAGAAAAGCCAGCGAG
Molecule: long non-coding RNA, 1199 nt
Organism: Dreissena polymorpha
Lineage: Eukaryota; Metazoa; Mollusca; Bivalvia; Myida; Dreissenidae
Exons: 3
Source: RefSeq, a predicted model, not a curated record